RNAcentral lists this long non-coding RNA (768 nucleotides) under Carica papaya (papaya). RNAcentral's name for it is "long non-coding RNA (CPAP_LNC013738)". Lineage: Eukaryota; Viridiplantae; Streptophyta; Magnoliopsida; Brassicales; Caricaceae. The record is from RNAcentral.
ACAUCACGAUAUCUCACCGUCACGGAGGUAAAGGUGGGUAGAAAAAUACAAAAAGACCAAUGGAGCAUAAUUUACAACAAACUCGUUUAUUAACAUGAAAACCUUUACCAUCCACUUACCUGGGUGGAAUUUAUGAAAACAAUAUAAGAAAAACAAUAACAUUAUCAUAAUCAUUGAAUAAUAUAAGCUGUAAAACAUAACACUUAUCACGCCUCUUGUAAUUCAAUCAUUGUACAACAUAUCUCUUUUCUCAUUUACCAGCCUACUAGUAUCCGUGGGGGUCCAUAGGGGUUCCGCUACCCGUUAACCUUUAACAUUCAUAAUCAGUUUCCAGGGCCGUCCCCAUACCCCGUCCGGUAUGGGCGCCAAAACCAUGAACCUCAAUACCCCGUCCGGUAUGAGGGUGAAACGGGCCGUCCCCAUACCCCGUCCGGUAUGAGCGCCAAAACCAUAAACCUCAAUACCCCGUCCGGUAUGAGGGUGAAACGGGCCGUCUCCAUACCCCGUCCGGUAUGGGCGCCAAAACCGUAAGAUCUCCAUACCCCGUCCGGCAUGUGAGACCACAAUCCCGGUAGGGUUCCCUACGGACCCGAUCCGUCCACCAUCUCCCAGGAUAUCUAGUCAGGCUGACCCCCAUAAUACAAUUAUCAGUCUACACAAUCUUUCAUUUUCCUUUUCCUCAAUCAGCAUCAUCAAUUAACAUACAAACAAGCAAACAGUAAUUCAUGCCAAACAGACAACAUACAGUAUCAGUUUUUCAGUCAUUCA